Long non-coding RNA from Brachypodium distachyon (stiff brome), 146 nucleotides. RefSeq lists it as uncharacterized. The transcript has 2 exons. NCBI's taxonomy places the organism in Eukaryota, Viridiplantae, Streptophyta, Magnoliopsida, Poales, Poaceae. The record is from RefSeq and is a predicted model, not a curated record.
CAUGCCGCCAGCACCUCUACUGGAGAUGUGAAGAAUGCUUGCCAUUUUUGCAAGGAGAUAGGCCAUUUCCGGAAGAAUUGCCCUGGAUUCCUCAAGUGGAUGUUAAAGAGAGGGAUUAAGUUUGAUCCGCACCAUAAAGGCAAAAA